AGCAAUGCACUCAGACUCCUCUCUGCUGUGGAGAGCUUUUUUUUUUUUUUUUCAUAUUAAACUUUCACUCCAACUUUAUCUUUGUGUUUACAAUUCUUAAUUUUUUUGUCUUGGAUAAAGAACAAAAAACCUGGAGUACUUCUUCAGACAACAAGAAACUUCCAAAUUAAGGUGCAUUGGCAAGAAUGCAACAUAUUUUGAUCCAUUGGCUUGGAAGGAGGGAAUUCAUCAGAAGGAGGACCUAAGCCAACAUGUGGGAUUGGAAGAAGGUCCUAGGAAAAUUCAAGAUUUCUGGCUGGGACUAACCCUCAGUGUUAUCUGAAGGUCCUCAGUGUUAUCUGAAGACUACUCCAAUCCUUGACAGCCCACCAGUGUGUCAGCACAAGGACCUUCCCUCUUACAUUUUCCUUCUUUUCUCCCAUGGCUAUUAUGUCACCUAUCUCUUCAUUGUAUACAAUGUUGCAGGUGUUUUUUCAGCCUAGAGAUAUAAUCUUGCUUGGUAGAGUAAGUUGGUGUCUUUUUUUGUAACCAGGAAUGUAACUUCAAGAAACUGUGUUUUUGUGAUUUCCUCGAGACAGAGGAGUUCAAGAUUUCUGUCUAAGUAUUCACUUAGUAAGGUCUCUUCUACCCCUCAAUAAUAGACAUUCAUGACACUAUAUGGUCAAAUAUUUCACCCCAAGUGAAUAUCCUCUUUUCUCUCCAUUUGGAUUGUUUCUUCCCUCUACAUUUGGGUUGGUUUUUCCCUCCCCAUUUGGGUUGGUUUUUCCCUCCAUGUAAAAUCCCAGCAUUGCCCAAUAAAUUUAAACAAUUCUUUAUGAAACAAG
Molecule: long non-coding RNA, 824 nt
Filed under: Homo sapiens (human)
Lineage: Eukaryota; Metazoa; Chordata; Mammalia; Primates; Hominidae
Description: HSALNT0409540
Source: RNAcentral